UACGAAGGGGGCUAGCGUUGUUCGGAAUUACUGGGCGUAAAGCGCGCGCAGGCGGUUCUUCAAGUCAGGGGUGAAAGCCCAGAGCUCAACUCUGGAAUGGCCUUUGAGACUAGAGAAUUAGGGUACGGGAGAGGUGAGUGGAAUUCCGAGUGUAGAGGUGAAAUUCGUAGAUAUUCGGAAGAACACCGGUGGCGAAGGCGGCUCACUGGCCCGUUACCGACGCUCAGGCGCGACAGCGUGGGGAGCAAACAGG
This 253-nucleotide ribosomal RNA is filed under the name uncultured bacterium. RNAcentral describes it as "partial 16S ribosomal RNA". It matches the Rfam family "Bacterial small subunit ribosomal RNA", at positions 524 to 776 of the family's 1533-position model. The record is from RNAcentral.